RNAcentral lists this ribosomal RNA (254 nucleotides) under uncultured bacterium. Its description in RNAcentral is "partial 16S ribosomal RNA". It matches the Rfam family "Bacterial small subunit ribosomal RNA", at positions 524 to 776 of the family's 1533-position model. The record is from RNAcentral.
UACGUAGGGGGCGAGCGUUGUCCGGAAUCAUUGGGCGUAAAGCGCGCGUAGGCGGCCAGAUAAGUCCGGUGUGAAAGUCAAAGGCUCAACCUUUGAAUGCCGCUGGAAACUGUCUGGCUUGAGUCCGGGAGGGGCGAGUGGAAUUCUUGGUGUAGCGGUGAAAUGCGUAGAUAUCAAGAGGAACACCUAUUGCGAAGGCAGCUCGCUGGGACGUAAACUGACGCUGAGACGCGAAAGCGUGGGGAGCAAACAGG